Saccostrea cuccullata (small rock oyster) is the source of this 1083-nucleotide long non-coding RNA. RefSeq lists it as uncharacterized. The transcript is spliced from 3 exons. Lineage: Eukaryota; Metazoa; Mollusca; Bivalvia; Ostreida; Ostreidae. The record is from RefSeq and is a predicted model, not a curated record.
CAAGGAGUCAGGUUGACCAUUCCUAGCAGAACUAGUAAGCCAACUUCAUCUCCGAGCACUCCCUAGGCAACCCCUCCUACACAGAGCACUAUUCAGGCAUCCCCUCCAUCUACUCGGAGCACUAUCCAGACAACCCCGAUAGCUACUCAAAAUACUGAAAGGUCAUCAAACAGGACAAUAAGGGUUGGACACUGUGUCAGGAAGUCAAGAUGCCUCAGUGGAGAAAUUGGUGACCAGUGUAUUGGAAGAAAUUCGUUGAGUUGACUCUUCAGGCCAGAAGGUGUCUGCUGAAAAUCAUAUUGUCGACUGCAAUCUAUCAUAAAGUGUAGUUUUUGUGAAGUUAAACCUUCAGGCCAGAAGUUGUCUGCUGAAAAUUAUCACGAAUUGUAUAUUGGGUAAAGUUCAACUUUAGGCCAGAAGUUGUCUGCUGAUGUUUGGAGAAUAUCAUGUAUCGUACACAUAUGUGGUUAUCCAUUUAUGUUUAAUAGGUGAUAGCUAAGGUUUAAAGUAUGGGUAUUGCGACACCAAAAAUUGUCUUUUUAAUUGCAUUUUGUAGACAUGUUUUGAGCCAGACUCCUUUAACUUACAUUCUAACAUACAUGUUAAUAUCGGUCAUUAUCAAAUAUAUGUAACCUUGGUGUUGCAAUUGUUACCAAGAAAAAAAAUUUGCCUACCUCUGAGUUGAUCAAGUACAUCAUGCAAUAGUCAGAUUUGAAUGUGCAAAAUUAUUACUACUAGGUGAUUUUAAGUUGAUUUCUAAUUAUACAUGUAAUAGGAAAACUGGUUAUAAUGUAUGUCCUCGUAAUACAAGUUCACUUUGGGUGGCAGUGUGUACAAACAUUGCAUGCUUGUAAAGACUUUGGCAGUUUUUGUCUGCCACCUUUUUUGCUGAUUGUUAUUUUUUACAUUCUGGAUUGUUUAUUUGGAUUUUCUACAUGUACUAUGUUACACUGGGGAGAUCAACUAAUGUUUUGUACAAAUUUACACAUUUUUUCAAGAGUGAUCUCCCCUUUAUCUGAUGUAUCUUUUCAUUAUCUGUCGUCAUUUAUACAUGUAUAAUAAAUGACAAAUUCAUCCAUCAAA